AGGGUUAUAAUUUAUAUUAAAAUAUUUGAUUUGCAUUCAAAAAUUAUUGAAUUCUCAAUUUACCUUA
Molecule: transfer RNA, 67 nt
Filed under: Saturnia boisduvalii
Lineage: Eukaryota; Metazoa; Arthropoda; Insecta; Lepidoptera; Saturniidae
Also listed under: 1 other name
Description: tRNA-Ala
Source: RNAcentral